CUUGAUCGUGCCCAGCAGCAGCGGCUGCUCACGAUCCCGGCCGUAGGUCGCCAGCAGCGCCUGCGCCUC
RNAcentral lists this antisense RNA (69 nucleotides) under Amycolatopsis sp. YIM 10. RNAcentral's name for it is "ASpks TB sRNA". It matches the Rfam family "ASpks TB sRNA". Lineage: Bacteria; Bacillati; Actinomycetota; Actinomycetes; Pseudonocardiales; Pseudonocardiaceae. The record is from Rfam by way of RNAcentral.